ACCUACAGAAGCAGCCCCAUUCGAUGAAGUACAGGAGGGCAAGGAGGGUCCAUCGCAGGGGCUAGGUGACCAUCUGGGGUGCCUGGUGAUCCUGCACUGGAUGCCUGGCCACAGCUGCAAGGUUACGGGGGGCAGCCUGGGAGACCCCACAGAGGAGGCUGGGGCCUUCCUUCAUCCAGGCUUCAUCACUCACGUCCAGGAGCCCCCACUCUGGUCCUCAGGAGCCUCUCCGCCACCCUCAGCAGAGUGAAGCUGAUGGUCAUGACCUCACCCCGAAGAGCUCCAGGGCCACCUCUUCUCUGAGCCCCAGCUUCUGCUCCCCAGCCUCCUCUACUGACCCGGCUCACUGUGUGCCCGCAGCAGGUUGCCUUACCUCUCUGGGUCUUUUCUUCCAUUUGUCUUCCCAGUGGCUGGCAAGGACAUCUCCCAGGGUGGAGGAAGGGUGUCCCUGCUCCCCUCCCUCCGUCCCUUUGGCCUUCCUCGCAGGACAGAGCCGGCUUCUGGUGGCUGGGUGCCCCAGGAAUAUCUGCAGGAGCCCACGCUGCAGGCCACGUGGAUGCUGCGCCCCCGGCUUCCAGGCUGUGGACCCAGGCUGGGCUUGAAUCCAAGAGGCCCGACCCCUCCUGGGUGUUUGGCUGAAUCAAUGUUUAAUUAAAUAUUUAUUCAUUUCCAGU
Molecule: long non-coding RNA, 674 nt
Filed under: Chinchilla lanigera (long-tailed chinchilla)
Lineage: Eukaryota; Metazoa; Chordata; Mammalia; Rodentia; Chinchillidae
Description: lncRNA (ENSCLAG00000025078.1)
Source: RNAcentral